UNCACGCCGUAAACGCUGAGUGCUAGGUGUUAGNUCCUUUCCGGGACUUAGUGCCGACGCUAACGCAUUAAGCACUCCGCCUGGGGAGUACGACCGCAAGGUUGAAACUCAAAGGAAUUGACGGGGGCCCGCACGAGCGGUGGAGCAUGUGGUUUAAUUCGAAGCAACGCGAAGAACCUUACCAGGUCUUGACAUCCCGAUGCCCGCUCUAGAGAUAGAGUUUUUCUUCGGAACAUCGGAGACAGGUGGUGCAUGGUUGUCGUCAGCUCGUGUCGUGAGAUGUUGGGUUAAGUCCCGCAACGAGCGCAACCCUUAUUGUUAGUUGCCAUCAUUAAGUUGGGCACUCUAGCGAGACUGCCGGUAAUAAACCGGAGGAAGGUGGGGAUGACGUCAAAUCAUCAUGCCCCUUAUGACCUGGGCUACACACGUGCUACAAUGGUUGGUACAACGAGUCGCAAGCCGGUGACGGCAAGCUAAUCUCUGAAAGCCAAUCUCAGUUCGGAUUGUAGGCUGCAACUCGCCUACAUGAA
This 530-nucleotide ribosomal RNA is filed under the name uncultured bacterium. RNAcentral describes it as "bacterial SSU rRNA". It matches the Rfam family "Bacterial small subunit ribosomal RNA", at positions 794 to 1324 of the family's 1533-position model. The record is from RNAcentral.